RNAcentral lists this ribosomal RNA (389 nucleotides) under uncultured Enterobacter sp. RNAcentral's name for it is "bacterial SSU rRNA". It matches the Rfam family "Bacterial small subunit ribosomal RNA", at positions 505 to 895 of the family's 1533-position model. Lineage: Bacteria; Pseudomonadati; Pseudomonadota; Gammaproteobacteria; Enterobacterales; Enterobacteriaceae. The record is from RNAcentral.
GUGCCAGCAGCUGCGGUAAUACGGAGGGUGCAAGCGUUAAUCGGAAUUACUGGGCGUAAAGCGCACGCAGGCGGUCUGUCAAGUCGGAUGUGAAAUCCCCGGGCUCAACCCGGGAACUGCAUUCGAAACUGGCAGGCUGGAGUCUCGUAGAGGGGGUAGAAUUCCAGGUGUAGCGGUGAAAUGCGUAGAGAUCUGGAGGAAUACCGGUGGCGAAGGCGGCCCCCUGGACGAAGACUGACGCUCAGGUGCGAAAAGCGUGGGGAGCAAAACAGGAUUAGAUACCCUGGUAGUCCAACGCCGUAAACGAUGUCUAUUUGGAGUUGUGCCCUUGAGCUGGCUUCCGGAGCUAACGCGUUAAAUAGACCGCCUGGGGAUACGGCCGCAAGGUU